GAGUUCGAUUAUGGCUCAGAUUGAACGCUGGCGGGAUGCUUUACACAUGCAAGUCGAACGGCAGCACGGACUUCGUCUGGUGGCGAGUGGCGAACAGGUGAGUAAUGUAUCGGAACGUGCCUAGUAGCGGGGGAUAACUACGCGAAAGCGUAGCUAAUACCGCAUACGCCCUUCGGGGGAAAGCGGGGGACCUUCGGGCCUCGCACUAUUAGAGCGGCCGAUAUCGGAUUAGCUAGUUGGUGGGGUAACGGCUCACCAAGGCGACGAUCUGUAGCUGGUUUGAGAGGACGACCCGCACACAGGACGCUGAGACACAGCCCAGACUCCUACGGGAGGCAGCAGUGGGGAAUUUUGGACAAUGGGGAAACCCUGAUCCAGCCAUCCCGCGUGUGCGAUGAAGGCCUUCGGGUUGUAAAGCACUUUUGGCGGGAAAGAAACGGCACGGGAUAUUACCCCGUGCAACUGACAGUACCUGCAGAAUAAGCACCGGCUAACUACGUGCCAGCAGCCGCGGUAAUACGUAGGGUGCAAGCGUUAAUCGGAAUUACUGGGCGUAAAGCGUGCGCGAGCGGUUCGGAAAGAAAGAUGUGAAAUCCCAGAACGCUUUGGAACUGCAUUUUUAACUACCGAGCUAGAGAAUGUGUCAGAGGAGGUGGAAUUCCGCGUGUAGCAGUGAAAUGCGUAGAUAUGCGGAGGAACACCGAUGGCGAAGGCAGCCUCCUGGGAUAACACUGACGCUCAUGCACGAAAGCGUGGGGCAAACAGGAUUAGAUACCCUGGUAGUCCACGCCCUAAACGAUGUCAACUAGCUGUUGGGGCCGUGGGCCUUGGUAGCGCAGCUAACACGCGUGAAGUUGGGCCGCCUGCAGGAAUACGGUCGCAAGAUUAAAACUCAAAGGAAUGACGGGGACCCGCACAAGCGGUGGAUGAUGUGGAUUAAUUCGAUGCAACGCGAAAAACCUUACCUACCCUUGACAUGUCUGGAAUCCAGAGAUUUGGGAGUGCUCAUGAAGAACCGGAACACAGGUGCUGCAUGGCUGUCGUCAGCUCGUGUCGUGAGAUGUUGGGUUAAGUCCCGCAACGAGCGCAACCCUUGUCAUUAGUUGCUACGAAAGACACUCUAAUGGAGACUGCCGGUGACAAACCGGAGGAAGGUGGGGAUGACGUCAAGUCCUCAUGGCCCAUAUGGGUAGGGCUUCACACGUCAUACAAUGGUCAGGACAGAGGUCGCCAACCCGCGAGGAGGGGAGCCAAUCCAGAAACCCGAUCGUAGUCGGAUCGCAGUCUGCAACUCGACUGCGUGAAGUCGGAAUCGCUAGCUAAUCGCGGAUCAGCAUGUCGCGGUGAAUACGUUCCGAUUAUGUACACCGCCGUCACACCAAACGGAAUUUGGGUUUUACCAGAAGUAGUUAGCCUAACCGUAAGGAGGCGAUUACCACGGUAGGAUUCCCGUAACUGGUGAAGUCGUAACAAGGUAA
This 1478-nucleotide ribosomal RNA is filed under the name uncultured Bordetella sp. RNAcentral's name for it is "partial 16S-23S ribosomal RNA intergenic spacer". It matches the Rfam family "Bacterial small subunit ribosomal RNA". The record is from RNAcentral. Lineage: Bacteria; Pseudomonadati; Pseudomonadota; Betaproteobacteria; Burkholderiales; Alcaligenaceae.